This 915-nucleotide long non-coding RNA is filed under the name Mytilus galloprovincialis (Mediterranean mussel). The record is from RNAcentral. Lineage: Eukaryota; Metazoa; Mollusca; Bivalvia; Mytilida; Mytilidae.
CUUUAUACACAAAGGCAUAUGUAAAAAGACAAUACUAAUAUUCUUUGCAAAAAAUUGUCAGGAAAUUAAAAAUAAGGCGUAUAGGUACAGUUUUCAAUUUGUUAGCGGGCGUGACGUAAAACAGCGAAUCAAAGAAUUCAACUUUAUUCAUAACUAAUAUAGUGCAAUGCUGUUGAUUAAAAAUACUCCAUUCCAGGACCUUUUGUUUUCCAAUAUAUUAAUAUUACCAAUAAUGAUAAGUUCCAGUUUCGACGGGUUCAAACAGAAAGAUUUGAAAGCAGAGAAAACUGUGUAUCUUAUAAUCGGCAUGACUUUAUCAGAUGACAAUACUUAUACUAAAAUAAGGCUUGCGCAUAGUUAUAUACUUUAAUUCAGUCACGGACCCGCGAUAUCACGGGUGUGUUCUAGUAUUGAUUAAGUUGCAGGGUUUUUGCACCCCGGAAAUUAACACAUUUAUUCUAGACUUUGUUGUGGGCAUGAUAUAGGUUAUGUUCGUAUCGUAUUAUUAAUGAUGGUAUAAAACUAAUUCUAAUAUGACGUGCUUAGUAAACAACACCGUGAUAAAAUUCUCGAUAUAUCUAUACUUAGCACAGACUCUGAGAAAUACAUAAUAAUGGUUGUUACAAUAUACCUGCCAAGUAUCCAAAUGUAUCGGAACCUAUUUGCAAAACGCUAUGUCAAUUUUAUUGUUUUAAAGAUUGAAAUUGUCAAAAACUACGGAACUUUUAUUCUUAUUCGGAUGCAUGAAAAAAGAAUUAAGUCACAAGAACUCGGAGAAAUCUUCAAACUAAAAAAUAAAAUAAAAUUUUGCGAAAGUUCACUAAUGCUUACGGCGCAUUUAAGUCAUUUCAAAACAUGACGUCAAACUAAUGAAAACGCUAAAGCUGAAGGUUUUUCCGUUACACGAACCAUCGA